Molecule: long non-coding RNA, 891 nt
Organism: Triticum aestivum (bread wheat)
Lineage: Eukaryota; Viridiplantae; Streptophyta; Magnoliopsida; Poales; Poaceae
Exons: 4
Source: RefSeq, a predicted model, not a curated record
CUCGACCCGCUCCUCCUCUCCACUCAACCCACUCCUCUCCGCCGCCGACUCCUUCCUCCCCCACCGCCGUAGACUCCUUCCUCUCUCUCCAUCGCUAACUCCUUUCUCUCUCCUGAGAGAGGAGGGGAGGCCACCACUGCCGGCUGCGCUCUGCCAUGCCAAGAAGUGAGAUGGCUGGCUUGGAAGGUUUCGAGUUCUUCGAGAUCGUAAUCGAGAAAUCCUCUAGUAGAGGCUGCUUGACAAGUUUGCGAAGAUGCUCGAUGGCUGUGAGCCCCAGGAAGUGAAGCUACGGGAGGCCGGCAGCGGGCGUCGUAGGCUGUGGGGCGUGCUAGUGGUGUUCGACACCGACAACCACAUGUACCUAGGGCCUGGCUGAAAGCAUUUCACCCACGCCCACGACCUGCACUACGGGCACUUCCUUGUAUUUCACUAAAACGGCGACGCCAUGCUCACCGUGAAGGUGUUCGAUAGCACCAUGUGUUGCAGGUACUACUAGCACGAUGACGAUGCCAGCAAUGGGAGCAGUAGUGGGGAUGACGAGGAGCAGAGUGGGGAAGAAGAGGAGCAGAGUGGGGAAGAAGAGGAGCAGAGCGGUGAAGAAGAUGAGUAGGCAGGGAGGUGUAGCUUAUUCUGGCUGACGACCUUGCUAUGGUGGUGGUUGAUGACGACCUUGCUAUGGUGGUGGCUGACGAUGACCUCGCGAUUGUGGUGCAUGACGAUGACCUUGCGAUGGUGGUGCCUCACGAUGGCCUCGCGAUGGUGGUGCCUAACAAUGACCUCACAAUGGUGGUGCUGCCAGUGAUCCCACAGUUGGGCGACAGGACCAGUCCAAUUGUGUUAGAGGAGUACAUCAGCAUCGACAUUCGCCACUCUAAGUGCAUCAGGAUGAUG